GCUGCUCAAGUAUGCUACCUCUCCGUGGUGAGCAGUAGGCAACGAGAAACUCUCUCGGCUAAAGUAUAU
RNAcentral lists this ribozyme (69 nucleotides) under unclassified sequences. RNAcentral describes it as "HDV ribozyme from F. prausnitzii". It matches the Rfam family "HDV ribozyme from F. prausnitzii". The record is from RNAcentral.